Otolemur garnettii (small-eared galago) is the source of this 112-nucleotide unclassified non-coding RNA. It matches the Rfam family "Y RNA". From Rfam's summary of the family: Y RNAs are components of the Ro ribonucleoprotein particle (Ro RNP), in association with Ro60 and La proteins. The Y RNAs and Ro60 and La proteins are well conserved, but the function of the Ro RNP is not known. The record is from Ensembl. NCBI's taxonomy places the organism in Eukaryota, Metazoa, Chordata, Mammalia, Primates, Galagidae.
GGCUGGUCUGAAGGGAGUGAGUUAUCUCACUUGAUUGUUUACAGUCAGUUACAGAUUGAACUCCUUGUUUACUCUUUCUCCCUUUCUCACUACUGCACUUGACUGGUCUUAA